UUUUGGCUAAUGACGGCUUUCCUUGCAUUUGAGCUUGGUUUGUGGCUGUUAGCUGUGUGGUUUCGGGGAUGUCUACCGUAAAGGUGCAUGAGUGGUGUUUGGUUUGUUACGGGUGGUUGGCUCUUUGCUUGCGCAACAACUUCCACCUGGCAUACCUCUUCAGUUUUGUGUCAAUGCUUGUAUCGCAUUGAAUGCAUGGUGGGUUUCUUGUGUUGCAUGCCUAAUUGAUGGUAUCGUUUGACGAUGUUUAUUUUCGUCUUGUGUUGCACAUGCGAUGCGAGAUGAACCUUGAAGCAGCCUUUGUGAUCCACUCUUUUGAUGCACACGUGUUGAUUUUGUGGCUUAUUGAGUGUCUGCUUGGUCUCGUGGAUAUGGAACAUUGUGUGGGCAUGUGAACUUUUAGUAGCUCCUUGUUUGCCCCAGUUAAGCUUUUCAAAUACGAUUUCCUAUCAUGUCUUGACGUGGUAGGCUAUAUCGAAUAUGAAUG
Molecule: unclassified non-coding RNA, 487 nt
Filed under: Ozothamnus whitei
Lineage: Eukaryota; Viridiplantae; Streptophyta; Magnoliopsida; Asterales; Asteraceae
Description: partial external transcribed spacer
Source: RNAcentral